AAUGAACGCUGGCGGCGUGCGUAACACAUGCAAGUCGAACGAGAAAUUCCGGGCUUGCUCGGGAGAGUAAAGUGGCGAACGGGUGAGUAACGCGUGGGUAACCUGCCCCUGAAUCUGGAAUAACUCGCCGAAAGGCGUGCUAAUACCGGAUAUUGUCUUUGGAGUGUUGCUUCAAUGAUGAAAGGUGACCUCUCCUUGGAAGUUGCCGUUCAGGGAUGGGCCCGCGUACCAUUAGCUUGUUGGUGGGGUAAUGGCCUACCAAGGCGACGAUGGUUAGCUGGUCUGAGAGGAUGAUCAGCCACACUGGAACUGAAACACGGUCCAGACUCCUACGGGUGGCAG
RNAcentral lists this ribosomal RNA (342 nucleotides) under uncultured Pseudomonadota bacterium. RNAcentral's name for it is "bacterial SSU rRNA". It matches the Rfam family "Bacterial small subunit ribosomal RNA", at positions 29 to 351 of the family's 1533-position model. Lineage: Bacteria; Pseudomonadati; Pseudomonadota. The record is from RNAcentral.